Molecule: unclassified non-coding RNA, 552 nt
Filed under: Hevea brasiliensis (rubber tree)
Lineage: Eukaryota; Viridiplantae; Streptophyta; Magnoliopsida; Malpighiales; Euphorbiaceae
Source: RNAcentral
GAUGCGCACACGUGAGAAUAUCUUAAAGAUAUUGAUGGAGCUGCAAGAUUGGAAGGAGGCACUAAAGUAUUGCAGAUUAACUAUUCCAGCUUAUCGGAGAGUUUAUCCAGAAUGUCAUCCUUUACUCGGACUGCAAUACUAUACUUGUGGAAAACUUGAAUGGUGGCUUGGUGAGACUGAGGAAGCGUACAGGUCACUAGCCAAGGCAGCAGAGGUACUGCGAAUUACUCAUGGAACAUACACCACUUUCAUGAAGGAGCUUUUUGUGAAGUUAGAAGAAGCUCGUGCGGAGCUUUCUUACAAGAUUUCAUCCAAGGAAGAAUGAUUAUUGAACAUCUGCAUCCACAGAUGCACAAACUCUUAGACGAUUGCACAAAAUUCUGUUAUACAUGUUCAGCAAAAGGUGAGGAUGCAAAGAGUCUUGUAGACGACAUAUACAAAAUUCCGGAACAUCAGUUCAACAAAGUACGGACCUUCUUUCCUGAUCAUUACAACGAAUUUCUUGCGAGAUACUGAUCUCUCUUUUUCCUAAUGUCUUCUGAAUUUACUAUU